UCCCUACGGGGCGCAGCAGUGAGGAAUAUUGGUCAAUGGUCGGGAGACUGAACCAGCCAAGCCGCGUGAGGGAGGAAGGUACAGAGUAUCGUAAACCUCUUUUGCCGGGGAGCAAAGUGCCGCACGUGUGCGGUUUGGAGAGUACCCGGAGAAAAAGCAUCGGCUAACUCCGUGCCAGCAGCCGCGGUAAUACGGAGGAUGCGAGCGUUAUCCGGAUUUAUUGGGUUUAAAGGGUGCGUAGGCGGACGCUUAAGUCAGCGGUAAAAUUGCGGGGCUCAACCUCGUCGAGCCGUUGAAACUGGGUG
Molecule: ribosomal RNA, 305 nt
Filed under: uncultured bacterium
Lineage: Bacteria
Description: bacterial SSU rRNA
Rfam family: Bacterial small subunit ribosomal RNA
Source: RNAcentral